UGGGGCCGUGAGGUAGCUUGGUCCAUCCUUCGGCGUCCGGGACGCCGACACCUGCGUUCAAAUCGCAGCGGCCCCAUC
This 78-nucleotide transfer RNA is filed under the name Candidatus Methanogaster sp. ANME-2c ERB4. RNAcentral's name for it is "Methanosarcinales archaeon ANME-2c ERB4 tRNA-Pro". The record is from RNAcentral. Lineage: Archaea; Methanobacteriati; Methanobacteriota; Methanomicrobia; Methanosarcinales; Candidatus Methanogasteraceae.